Molecule: long non-coding RNA, 517 nt
Organism: Nicotiana tabacum (common tobacco)
Lineage: Eukaryota; Viridiplantae; Streptophyta; Magnoliopsida; Solanales; Solanaceae
Source: RefSeq, a predicted model, not a curated record
UCCUUAUUUAAUUUUCUCUCAUAGAAUUCAGCUUAAUUGCACGAAUUCAUGUAGGAAAAGAAUAAGCCAAUUAUUCCUAUAAAAGAUGGCAUUGUUCCACAUUGUUCAUUGUUCUCUAAAGAUUUUGGUGUAGAACAAAGUAUUUUCUUCAAAGGGAACAAAGAUCCAGGCAGUACUGUUCAAUAAAAAUGUUGAAGAUUGGAAAAUUUUAUUUCAACAAAACAAAAGCUAUUACAUUAUAAAUGGUCGCGUGAAGGCUGCUAAUUCUAUCUAUUUAUCUAUGCACAAGGAGUUGGAAAUAUCUUUUAGCAAUUAUACUACAGUUACGGAAUGCACCAACCACUUUUCCACCACAAAAUUUUCGAAAAAAUUUUCUAUCUUUAGAAGAGGCAACAAAAUCCACCAUCGAAACAUUAUUUGGUGAUUUUUUUCUCGCCAUCUUUUGAUAAUAUUGGAUACUUUUAUUUUAUUGUAUUUAAGUUUCACAUUAAUUCCUUUUAAUAGUUACUUUGUAACU